Molecule: ribosomal RNA, 364 nt
Filed under: Streptomyces tritolerans
Lineage: Bacteria; Bacillati; Actinomycetota; Actinomycetes; Kitasatosporales; Streptomycetaceae
Description: bacterial SSU rRNA
Rfam family: Bacterial small subunit ribosomal RNA
Source: RNAcentral
GAACGGGUGAGUAACGUGGGCAAUCUGCCCUGCACUCUGGGACAACCCUGGAAACGGGUAAUACCGGAUACUAGCCUCGCAGGCUGGGGUUCGAAAGUCCGGCGGUGCAGGAUGAGCCCGCGGCCUAUCAGCUUGUUGGUGAGGUAACGGCUCACCAGGCGACGACGGGUAGCCGGCCUGAGAGGGCGACCGGCCACACUGGGACUGAGACACGGCCCAGACUCCUACGGGAGGCAGCAGUGGGGAAUAUUGCACAAUGGGCGAAAGCCUGAUGCAGCGACGCCGCGUGAGGGAUGACGGCCUUCGGGUUGUAAACCUCUUUCAGCAGGGAAGAAGGACGGUACCUGCAGAAGAAGCGCCGGCU